RNAcentral lists this ribosomal RNA (722 nucleotides) under Salmonella enterica subsp. enterica serovar Havana. Its description in RNAcentral is "partial 23S ribosomal RNA". It matches the Rfam family "Bacterial large subunit ribosomal RNA", at positions 580 to 1298 of the family's 2925-position model. Lineage: Bacteria; Pseudomonadati; Pseudomonadota; Gammaproteobacteria; Enterobacterales; Enterobacteriaceae. The record is from RNAcentral.
CAGGUUUACCUGUGUGACUGCGUACCUUUUGUAUAAUGGGUCAGCGACUUAUAUUCUGUAGCAAGGUUAACCGAAUAGGGGAGCCGUAGGGAAACCGAGUCUUAACCGGGCGUUAAGUUGCAGGGUAUAGACCCGAAACCCGGUGAUCUAGCCAUGGGCAGGUUGAAGGUUGGGUAACACUAACUGGAGGACCGAACCGACUAAUGUUGAAAAAUUAGCGGAUGACCUGUGGCUGGGGGUGAAAGGCCAAUCAAACCGGGAGAUAGCUGGUUCUCCCCGAAAGCUAUUUAGGUAGCGCCUCGUGAAUUCAUCUCCGGGGGUAGAGCACUGUUUCGGCUAGGGGGCCAUCCCGGCUUACCAACCCGAUGCAAACUGCGAAUACCGGAGAAUGUUAUCACGGGAGACACACGGCGGGUGCUAACGUCCGUCGUGAAGAGGGAAACAACCCAGACCGCCAGCUAAGGUCCCAAAGUCAUGGUUAAGUGGGAAACGAUGUGGGAAGGCCCAGACAGCCAGGAUGUUGGCUUAGAAGCAGCCAUCAUUUAAAGAAAGCGUAAUAGCUCACUGGUCGAGUCGGCCUGCGCGGAAGAUGUAACGGGGCUAAACCAUGCACCGAAGCUGCGGCAGCGAACGUAUCACUUAAAGCGAUUCAGCGGGUUACGAUUGACGGAGCGAAGCGACGUCAAAGCGUAUACAAAGUCGAGUCGGUUUAAGGAUACGUU